Molecule: long non-coding RNA, 348 nt
Filed under: Mytilus galloprovincialis (Mediterranean mussel)
Lineage: Eukaryota; Metazoa; Mollusca; Bivalvia; Mytilida; Mytilidae
Source: RNAcentral
UACCGUGGAGUUUGUGUUUCCAGUCAUCAUCUUCCUUUUUUGGUGAUAGUAAAAAAACUCGAGUUCACCAAUUAUAAAUUUCUAGCACUACCAUAUGAUUAAAUAAAGUAUUUCCUAUAUUUGUCCUCUGUUUUAAAAAUCUUAGUUCAUUUAAAAUCAAACAUUAAUCAUAAAUCUCCGGGAAAUACAACAACUUAUCAUUUCAACUUCCGUACUUGUUUUGAAUUUUAGAUAAUCAAUGCCACGUGACUUCGACAUUAUCAAUGAAGCGCUUGAUCAUUAUCGCAGAUAUGAACAUCACUUACAUUCUGAUAGUGGUUAUAGACAAUAUUCCGACGUCUGUUUCAU